GAUGAACGCUGGCGGCGUGCCUAAUACAUGCAAGUCGAGCGAACAGACGAGGAGCUUGCUCCUCUGACGUUAGCGGCGGACGGGUGAGUAACACGUGGAUAACCUACCUAUAAGACUGGGAUAACUUCGGGAAACCGGAGCUAAUACCGGAUAAUAUAUUGAACCGCAUGGUUCAAUAGUGAAAGACGGUUUUGCUGUCACUUAUAGAUGGAUCCGCGCCGCAUUAGCUAGUUGGUAAGGUAACGGCUUACCAAGGCAACGAUGCGUAGCCGACCUGAGAGGGUGAUCGGCCACCCUGGAACUGAGACACGGUCCAGACUCCUACGGGAGGCAGCAGUAGGGAAUCUUCCGCAAUGGGCGAAAGCCUGACGGAGCAACGCCGCGUGAGUGAUGAAGGUCUUCGGUUCGUAAAACUCUGUUAUUAGGGAAGAACAAAUGUGUAAGUAACUAUGCACGUCUUGACGGUACCUAAUCAGAAAGCCACGGCUAACUACGU
RNAcentral lists this ribosomal RNA (496 nucleotides) under uncultured bacterium. RNAcentral's name for it is "partial 16S ribosomal RNA". It matches the Rfam family "Bacterial small subunit ribosomal RNA", at positions 28 to 506 of the family's 1533-position model. The record is from RNAcentral.